This 71-nucleotide transfer RNA is filed under the name Marmota monax (woodchuck). Its description in RNAcentral is "tRNA.Thr". The record is from RNAcentral. Lineage: Eukaryota; Metazoa; Chordata; Mammalia; Rodentia; Sciuridae.
GGGGUUGUGACUCAGCGGUAGACUGCUCGCUUAGUACGUGGGAGGCCCUGGGUUCGAUCCUCAGCACCACA